GUAGGUGGCAAGCGUUGUCCGGAAUUAUUGGGCGUAAAGCGCGCGCAGGCGGUUCUUUAAGUCUGAUGUGAAGGCCCACGGCUCAACCGUGGAGGGUCAUUGGAAACUGGAGAACUUGAGUACAGAAGAGGAAAGCGGAAUUCCACGUGUAGCGGUGAAAUGCGUAGAGAUGUGGAGGAACACCAGUGGCGAAGGCGGCUUUCUGGUCUGUAACUGACGCUGAGGCGCGAAAGCGUGGGGAGCAAACAGGGAUUAGAUACCCUGGUAGUCCACGCCGUAAACGAUGAGUGCUAAGUGUUAGGGGGGUUUCCGCCCCCUUAGUGCUGCAGCUAACGCAUUAAGCACUCCGCCUGGGGAGUACGGCCGCAAGGCUG
RNAcentral lists this ribosomal RNA (374 nucleotides) under uncultured organism. RNAcentral describes it as "partial 16S ribosomal RNA". It matches the Rfam family "Bacterial small subunit ribosomal RNA", at positions 527 to 896 of the family's 1533-position model. The record is from RNAcentral.